GGGCGCGUAACUCAACUGGCAGAGUAACCGGCUUUUAACCGGUAGGUUGUGAGUUCAAAUCUCACCGCGCCCACCA
RNAcentral lists this transfer RNA (76 nucleotides) under Agitococcus sp. RNAcentral describes it as "tRNA-Lys". It matches the Rfam family "tRNA". Rfam says of the family: Transfer RNA (tRNA) molecules are approximately 80 nucleotides in length. Lineage: Bacteria; Pseudomonadati; Pseudomonadota; Gammaproteobacteria; Moraxellales; Moraxellaceae. The record is from RNAcentral.